RNAcentral lists this ribosomal RNA (253 nucleotides) under uncultured bacterium. Its description in RNAcentral is "partial 16S ribosomal RNA". It matches the Rfam family "Bacterial small subunit ribosomal RNA", at positions 524 to 776 of the family's 1533-position model. The record is from RNAcentral.
UACGGGGGGGGUAAGCGUUGUUCGGAAUUACUGGGCGUAAAGGGCUCGUAGGCGGCCAACUAAGUCAGACGUGAAAUCCCUCAGCUUAACUGGGGAACUGCGUCUGAUACUGGAUGGCUUGGAUUCGGGAGAGGAAUGCGGAAUUCCAGGUGUAGCGGUGAAAUGCGUAGAUAUCUGGAGGAACACCGGUGGCGAAGGCGGCAUCCUGGACCAAUACUGACGCUGAGGAGCGAAAGCCAGGGGAGCAAACGGG